This 2341-nucleotide long non-coding RNA is filed under the name Rattus norvegicus (Norway rat). Its description in RNAcentral is "long non-coding RNA NONRATT030302". Lineage: Eukaryota; Metazoa; Chordata; Mammalia; Rodentia; Muridae. The record is from RNAcentral.
CCACCCCCAGCCUGGCCCUGUUGGUUGCCACCUGUAUCUCCAGUCUACUAGGGGCAGAGGGAGGGAGGGAUGUGAACAAGCCAUGGCUCCUCACGGCCUGGCAUAGGGAAGCUCUCUGUCCUGGCCUGUUUGUCUGAAAUGAACCUAGUACAGUAUGUGUGUGAGGGGUUCUGCAAAUCCCGAGACUUAGACAGUUCAGAAAGCAUUGUGAGCUACUUCUGAGGGAACGGUUCCCAAAAUGGAGCAAUAAGGGUGGUGUGGGCAGCUUCACCUCAGAAUAAGGAGGAUCAGGUGAGGUGUAUGGUCAACCCUCGCAAGGCAGACUGGCUCCAACUGAGCUGUGUCCAGGCUAUUGGGUAGGCGGCCAUGUUUACACACGGCUGUGGGUGACAGAGACCAUGGGAGUUCAGAAUGGGGUCUCUGACUGUAGCCUCGAUGUCGAUGAGCAGAGGAAUGAAUAUGUAGCUCUGGAAAGGUUCUGUGAUCAGUGAUCUGCCCCAGUUGUGGCAUUCCUGUAAAUCUCAGCAAGAGAACUCAGUGAAUGAUGUAUGAGGAUGACCUGCGAUGGUCUUGGUAAAGGGACUCUUCUGCACCUUCUGCGCUUGGGGAAUUUUCAUGCCAUGUCCAUUUGGAAAGCCAGAAACCAAACCUGAAGUCCCCAGGGCCUAUCAGGAGCAGUUACACUCAGCAUCCAGCUAUUCCAAGGUUCUCCCUCCACCUUGGUCAGCCCCUCCCCGCCCCUCUAGAUCAACUGAUGGGUCUAAGUUCCCCAUCAUCUCAAGCUGUCUCCACAUGGCACUGACAUGACCUGGAUACUCUUGAGACCAAUGCUCACAGCAUCUCUACAGUCUGGAUGGUCGUAGAAGGUUCUGGCUUCAAAGGUCCCUUGGCACAGUUAUCAAGGGUCCUGUCCUUCAUCCAAGUAUCAAGAUUCAGGGUAGUGGCAGGGCUCGAAGUAGUGUGUGCACCUGCCAUCCAGUGUGAGCCCAGCGGAAACUGAGAAUUCACCCAUCACUGGGGUCAGGUGCCAUAUGGGUGGCCACCCUCAUGCCUGGCCACCGUCAUCCCCCAGGGCUUGAGGUAAGAGUCAAUAGCAUCAAGUGUCAGGAGACCCUAUCUAUGAAGUGUAGAAUAAGACUUAUUUCCAAGAAUACAAAUCAAGGUUAAGCCCGAACUAGAAACCAGGUGACCUGAGCUGUCUAUGGUGGACCUUGGAGGCAGAAGGCUGAGACCACAAAGUGGAGAGAAGACGGCUGUGUUCAGAAACUCACUCUGGUGCUCAUGGCCUAUUCAAAGGAGGGAAGGAGCGAGUUGCUUCAAUGUCUUGGUUCCCAAGGGCCACGGAGCCACACAGCCCCCAGCAGGCAGAGAGGCAGUCGGGCCUGCCGCGCUCGCUCAGGUCAGCCAACCUGAAGCUGAGGCCUUGGAAGAGUCCGGCUCCACCCAGCAGGUGGGUGUCUCGGCUUUUGUGGGUGGUCCUGAGUCAGAAACUAGUAACCAGAACUGAUGGACCAAGAGAUCCGUCUACAGCUCAGGAAACCUGAUUUCUUCAUGCCCUCCUUGCCCCAAAUUACCUGUAUAUCAUGUCAGCUGAAGGUCAUUUGUCCAACAUCCGUGACGGGGAGGGAUGACACGGGGACUAGGGAUAGGCCAAGCCUUCCUAGCUGGGGUCUGUGUUUCCUGCUUGGAACAGAGGGUGAGAUGGAUCCGGAAAACCACCUCCACAGACAGUUUGGUGUUGAUACUUGAUGUUGCCCAGGCUGGGACCUCAACUUAGUUUGGAAUAAUAAUCAUCUUUCCUGGAGAGGGAGGGGCUGUUUCUGCCUCAUACCAACACCUUAUUCAACACACAACACACACACACACACACACACAGCUGUUGUAAAUGGCUUCCUCUAUCCUGGUCCCUGGAGACCCCUAACUAUCUUCAGAUUACUGAAUGUGGCUGAUGUUACAGAUGUGAACAAGACCAAGAUGUUGGUCCCCUGCUCCACCCAGCAUGUGGACCUCAAAAGACAUUCCUUUACCCCUGGGACUGGAGCAGUGCAGUCCCCCAGGAUGGACAGAUAUGGCUGACCUGAGUCUCUCCUUGAGCCUGGACCUCCUGUAGUUUGUCUAUACCGAGGGGCCCCUGCAACUCAAGAGGCUGUUUCCCUGACCUGUACAUAUGUGGUUGCUGUGGGCGCCCCCUGGCCCUUGUGUCAUAACCACCUGACAUAAUGACUAGUAUCCUGCUGUUUACACCUGAGUGUUAGCUGUAGGCUCCUGUACUGUUUGUGUGCACUUAGGGCUCUGUCCAAUUAAGAAAUAAAUGUGGCUCUCAUGCAACACACAUCCAUUC